This 377-nucleotide ribosomal RNA is filed under the name uncultured eukaryote. Its description in RNAcentral is "partial 18S ribosomal RNA". It matches the Rfam family "Eukaryotic small subunit ribosomal RNA", at positions 592 to 976 of the family's 1831-position model. The record is from RNAcentral.
CAAUAGCGUAUAUUAAAGUUGUUGCAGUUAAAAAGCUCGUAGUUGGAUUUCGGGGCAACCUGGCUGGUCCGCCGCAAGGCGAGUACUGGUCAGCCGCCCUUCCUCUCGAAAGCCCCGACUGCUCUUCGUUGCAGUGGUCGGGUAGUUCGGGACGUUUACUUUGAAAAAAUUAGAGUGUUCAAGGCAGGCCUACGCCUGAAUACAUUAGCAUGGAAUAAUGGAAGAGGACCUCGGUCCUAUUUUGUUGGUUUCCAGGGCCGAAGUAAUGAUUAAGAGGGACAGUUGGGGGCAUUCGUAUUUAAUUGUCAGAGGUGAAAUUCUCGGAUUUAUGAAAGACGAACAACUGCGAAAGCAUUUGCCAAGGAUGUUUUCAUUAA